AUACGUAGGGGGCGAGCGUUGUCCGGAAUGAUUGGGCGUAAAGGGCGCGUAGGCGGCUUUGCAAGUCAGUAGUGGAAGUCCAUUUUUCAAGGAUGGCAGUGCUACAGAAACUGCGGAGCUUGAGUGCAGGAGAGGUUAUCGGAAUUCCCGGUGUAGCGGUGAAAUGCGUAGAGAUCGGGAGGAACCCCGGUGGCGAAGGCGGCUUGCUGGGCUUUUACUGACGCUGAGGCUCGAAAGCGUGGGUAGCAAACAGGAUUAGAUACCCUGGUAGUCCACGCUGUAAACGAUGAUUACUAGGUGUGGGGGGACUGACCCCUUCCGUGCCGCAGUUAACACAAUAAGUAAUCCACCUGGGGAGUACGGCCGCAAGGUUGAAACUCAAAUGAAUUGACGGGG
Molecule: ribosomal RNA, 396 nt
Filed under: uncultured bacterium
Lineage: Bacteria
Description: partial 16S ribosomal RNA
Rfam family: Bacterial small subunit ribosomal RNA
Source: RNAcentral